This 505-nucleotide long non-coding RNA is filed under the name Setaria viridis. Its description in RNAcentral is "long non-coding RNA (SVIR_LNC002300)". The record is from RNAcentral. Lineage: Eukaryota; Viridiplantae; Streptophyta; Magnoliopsida; Poales; Poaceae.
CAGCUCCAGGGCAGCAAUGGCGCAUACCAUGACUCCCCUUUCAACAGCGCAAAACACAACCUCCAUUCUGAAGAUUGCUCCAAAAUCCCCAACUCUGAAGAACAGCAGCGACCUUUCUCUGGGAGCCAAAUGCGACACCAGGAGGUCAGUGAAGUAUAUGUAUAUUCAGUUCAAUUUCUCUUUCUGAAUGUGUUUGUGUUUCUCCCCUUCUUAGAACUUCGAUGUAUUGCUGUAACAGGGCACUUGUAUGUGGCUUGAUUGCUGCUGGUGCUGGUGCAAUGCUGGGACCUGACAUUGCUUCUGCUGCGUCUAAGAGACGGCCUCCGCCGCCUUCGCCGACGGAGGAGAAGAAAGACCCGAACGUUAGCGGCGUGCAGGCUAAGGUGCUUGCCAGCAAGAGGAGGAAGGAGGCCAUGAAGGAAGCUGUGGCCAAGUUGAGGGAGAAAGGGAAGCCUGUUGAUAAGUGAAGGGCAGAACCACAGAACAAGUAGCCUUUGGUUCCAGC